UUAUCUCCAUUCGAAUAAUAGAACACCACUUACGACUCACAAACAAUCACCGCAUUUAAACAAAAUUAAUACAUCAUCGGCCACGUAUGUACAAUGCACGUGUACGAGGCUAAUACAAAAUUUUACUUGCCAAUUUCGCGACCAAAAAUCUGUACGUUCGAAUUAACUAAAAGAAUGAUCGGAGGACGAAUUCUUUAUGGAAGCAAGAGAUCCUGGAUGAAAAAUCGAACGUUCUUACACGUUUCGAGAUUUGCACUCUGUGUAUCAUUCGCAGAUACUUAGCAGAAUGCGACAUUCCAAUGACGAUUGAGAACAAAAAUAAAAAUUCACUGGCAACGUUCGCAGGCCAUGUUCGCAGGCCAUGUUCGCAGAUUAGGUAUGCACGUUGGCACGUUCGCAAGUCACAUUCGCACGCUCGCAGGCCACGUCCACGGACCAAGUUCAUAGGCCAUGUUCACAGAUCAUGUUCGCACACUAGAUACGCACGUUCGGAGGUCGCAUUCGCGGGCAACGUUCGCGGAACAGGUUUGCACGUUCUGAAGCCACUUUCGCAGGUUUGCAGAUCACAUUCUGACGUUUCGCAGUGCGACGUUUCAACGAGGAUCGAGGGCAAAGAUCAAAAGAUGGAUACAAUGUGUAGCUUUCCCGAAAUUCGAUAUCAGGGGAUGCGAGGUGUUUUCUCUGCUCCCUGGCUCAGUUGAGAUGUCUUGAAUGGCUACCUCUUUGUCUAACUACACGCGGUGACGUUUAAGUAAAUAGCGCCGAUGCCAGGAACAAUCUUACCGUUCUUUCGUAAGUAUCACGCAGAAAUCAUUUUGUUUCCCUUCCUUCCCUUUGUUUCGUCAGAUAUUGUGCCGGCAUUUGAUAAAGAACAGAAUUUUUGUGUUACUUUAAAAAUUUUCUUAGGAUAGGCGUCAAAAAUUCACUCUUCGAUCAAGUCGCGGUUACGAGCGAAUUUCACUAAAAAAAUUAACAUCAUACAGCGUAACAGUUUGUAGCAGAACAAAACUUACAUAGCAAUGUAAUACGACAUCUUGUCGACACGGAACGAUAAAAAUUACAGUCGCGAUUUCGACCAUUUCUUUUUUUAUCCUUUAAAGAAGGAAAGGGACUUUUUAAUUGGAAAUUCAAAUUAUACGCGUCUUUCUAUUUAACGAGAAUUGACAAACAAGAAUACAACUAUCGAGCGAUAGAUUCUGAUGUACAAAUGAUCCUUAUUAAUCCUCUAUCGAUCAUUGAGGGAAUUAUUGCUCACAUUUAUUAUUUACUUACAUAUUAUUUACUCAAAGACCGAUGAUAUUCAUCGACUAAUAAGAUCAAGAUCGAACAAUGUUUAUUUCGUUUUUUGUCGACUGCAUUCCGCACUGUGCUUGUGGCCGAAAGUGCACUCGCACGGAGGAUUGCGAGAGAGAAACGAUGUCCCGUAGUGGGUUUGCUACUAUCAUCCAAUUUACAAGCGAACCGUGUGCAGCGGUUAAUAGCUGCCGGAAUAAUGGGCAUCGCGCAGGUAGUGAUGGGAUCGAAACGAACAUACAGCAACCGUAAAUCUUUCGGAUAAUAAAAGUUUCUUUCACUUCUGUCAUUCGUCUAAGACGCCGUUUCUUUUGUUCUUUUUCUUUUAUAUCCCUACGUCGCGGAGAAACAGAUUUUGCGAGUAGCCGUAAAGUUUAUUUCUGCGCCUAAAACGACGCGUAUCGUGU
Molecule: unclassified non-coding RNA, 1700 nt
Filed under: Bombus terrestris (buff-tailed bumblebee)
Lineage: Eukaryota; Metazoa; Arthropoda; Insecta; Hymenoptera; Apidae
Description: misc RNA ENSBTSG00005023669.1
Source: RNAcentral